CCUACGGGUGGCAGCAGUGAGGAAUAUUGGUCAAUGGGAGAGAGCCUGAACCAGCCAAGCCGCGUGAGGGAGGACGGCCCUGUGGAUUGUAAACCUCUUUUGUCGGGGAACAAAACCCGGGACGUGUCCCGGGCUGCGUGUAUCCGAAGAAAAAGCAUCGGCUAACUCCGUGCCAGCAGCCGCGGUAAUACGGAGGAUGCGAGCGUUAUCCGGAUUUAUUGGGUUUAAAGGGUGCGUAGGCGGUCCGUUAAGUCAGCGGUAAAAUGGCGGGGCUCAACCCCGUCGAGCCGUUGAAACUGGCAGUCUUGAGUUGGAGAGAAGUACGCGGAAUGCGCGGUGUAGCGGUGAAAUGCAUAGAUAUCGCGCAGAACUCCGAUUGCGAAGGCAGCGUACCGGCGCCAGACUGACGCUGAGGCACGAAAGCGUGGGGAUCGAACAGGAUUAGAUACCCGGGUAGUC
This 459-nucleotide ribosomal RNA is filed under the name uncultured bacterium. RNAcentral's name for it is "partial 16S ribosomal RNA". It matches the Rfam family "Bacterial small subunit ribosomal RNA", at positions 338 to 795 of the family's 1533-position model. The record is from RNAcentral.